This 289-nucleotide ribosomal RNA is filed under the name uncultured bacterium. RNAcentral's name for it is "partial 16S ribosomal RNA". It matches the Rfam family "Bacterial small subunit ribosomal RNA", at positions 773 to 1060 of the family's 1533-position model. The record is from RNAcentral.
GUGGAUUAGAUACCCUGGUAGUCCACGCCCUAAACGAUGUCUACUAGUUGUUGGGUCUUAAUUGACUUAGUAACGCAGCUAACGCGUGAAGUAGACCGCCUGGGGAGUACGGUCGCAAGAUUAAAACUCAAAGGAAUUGACGGGGACCCGCACAAGCGGUGGAUGAUGUGGAUUAAUUCGAUGCAACGCGAAAAACCUUACCUACCCUUGACAUGUCAGGAAUCCUCGAGAGAUCGGGGAGUGCCCGAAAGGGAACCUGAACACAGGUGCUGCACGGCUGUCGUCAGCU